Molecule: ribosomal RNA, 1053 nt
Filed under: Triticum aestivum (bread wheat)
Lineage: Eukaryota; Viridiplantae; Streptophyta; Magnoliopsida; Poales; Poaceae
Description: partial small subunit ribosomal RNA
Source: RNAcentral
AUGGCGGACGAGCCGGCGCUGCCGGUGGCGGCGGGGAGGGACAAGGACGAGCGCCGCCGCUUGAUGGGCAGGUGCGCGCUCGCCGUCGUCGGCAUCAUGAGCACCCUCCUCGUCUACGGCGUCCUCCAGGAAAAACUUAUGAGAGUUCCCUAUGGAGCAGAGAAGGAGUUCUUCAGAUACUCACUAUUUCUUGUUUUCUGUAACCGUAUCACCACAUCCAUGGUGUCUGCACUCGUGUUACUGUCGAGUAAGAAGUCCACGGACCCAGUGGCCCCAAUCCAGAAAUACUGUGUUGUCUCCUUCUCAAACAUACUAACCACAACUUGCCAGUACGAGGCCCUCAAGUAUGUGAGUUUCCCUGUCCAGACACUUGCCAAAUGUGCAAAGAUGAUUCCUGUUAUGAUUUGGGGCACGAUAAUUAUGAAAAAGAAGUAUGGUGGAAAAGAUUACUUCUUUGCAGUCAUUGUGACCAUGGGCUGCUCAUUGUUCAUUCUAUACCCGGCAUCAAUGGAUGUUAGUCCACUUAAUAAAGGCAGAGAAAGUACUGUUUGGGGUGUUUCACUCAUGCUUGGCUAUCUUGGAUUUGAUGGUUUCACAAGCACCUUCCAAGACAAACUCUUCAAAGGGUAUGAGAUGGAAAUUCACAACCAAAUAUUCUACACGACAAUGUGCUCUUGUGUUAUUAGCUUGAGUGGGCUUAUUCUCCAGAAUCAUCUUCUUCCAGCUGUGGACUUUAUGGUUCGUCAUCCAGAUUGCUUCUAUGAUGUCCUAAUCCUAUCCACUGUUGCAACAGCUAGCCAGUUCUUCAUAUCCUACACUAUUCGAACAUUCGGGGCUCUCACAUUCGCUACCAUCAUGACAACCAGACAGUUGGUGAGCAUACUACUGUCCUGCGUCUGGUUCGUGCAUCCCCUUAGCUGGAUGCAGUGGGUUGGAGCUGCCAUUGUAUUCGGUGCCCUGUAUGCCAAAACCUUCUCAAGAAACAAACUGCAGAAGGCCGCGGUCGUGAGCUCACCGUCGCAAGGUUCUGUGCCAAAUGCUGCUAACAGUUGA